RNAcentral lists this ribosomal RNA (497 nucleotides) under uncultured bacterium. RNAcentral describes it as "partial 16S ribosomal RNA". It matches the Rfam family "Bacterial small subunit ribosomal RNA", at positions 28 to 507 of the family's 1533-position model. The record is from RNAcentral.
GAUGAACGCUGGCGGCGUGCCUAAUACAUGCAAGUCGGGCGAACGGACGAGAAGCUUGCUUCUCUGAUGUUAGCGGCGGACGGGUGAGUAACACGUGGAUAACCUACCUAUAAGACUGGGAUAACUUCGGGAAACCGUAGCUAAUACCGGAUAAUAUUUUGAACCGCAUGGUUCAAAAGUGAAAGACGGUCUUGCUGUCACUUAUAGAUGGAUCCGCGCUGCAUUAGCUAGUUGGUAAGGUAACGGCUUACCAAGGCAACGAUGCAUAGCCGACCUGAGAGGGUGAUCGGCCACACUGGAACUGAGACGCGGUCCAGACUCCUACGGGAGGCAGCAGUAGGGAAUCUUCCGCAAUGGGCGAAAGCCUGACGGAGCAACGCCGCGUGAGUGAUGAAGGUCUUCGGAUCGUAAAACUCUGUUAUUAGGGAAGAACAUAUGUGUAAGUAACUGUGCACAUCUUGACGGUACCUAAUCAGAAAGCCACGGCUAACUACGUG